GACGAACGCUGGCGGCGUGCCUAAUACAUGCAAGUAGAACGCUGAGGAGAGCUUGCUUCUCUGGUGAGUUGCGAACGGGUGAGUAACGCGUAGGUAACCUGCCUGGUAGCGGGGGAUAACUAUUGGAAACGAUAGCUAUACCGCAUAAGAGUAGAUGUUGCAUGACAUUUGCUUAAAAGGUGCAAUUGCAUCACUACCAGAUGGACCUGCGUUGUAUUAGCUAGUUGGUGAGGUAACGGCUCACCAAGGCGACGAUACAUACCGACCUGAGAGGGUGAUCGCCACACUGGGACUGAGACACGGCCCAGACUCCUACGGGAGGCAGCAGUAGGGAAUCUUCGGCAAUGGACGGAGUCUGACCGAGCAACGCCGCUGAGUGAAGAAGGUUCGGAUCGUAAAGCUCUGUUUAAGAGAAGAACGAGUGUGAGAGU
This 431-nucleotide ribosomal RNA is filed under the name Streptococcus mitis. RNAcentral describes it as "bacterial SSU rRNA". It matches the Rfam family "Bacterial small subunit ribosomal RNA", at positions 28 to 462 of the family's 1533-position model. Lineage: Bacteria; Bacillati; Bacillota; Bacilli; Lactobacillales; Streptococcaceae. The record is from RNAcentral.